Molecule: long non-coding RNA, 826 nt
Organism: Rattus rattus (black rat)
Lineage: Eukaryota; Metazoa; Chordata; Mammalia; Rodentia; Muridae
Exons: 2
Source: RefSeq, a predicted model, not a curated record
GAUUCGGCGAGGGACAGGGCUGGCAGUCUCUGGAUGUCCGUAACUCUGCGUACUCUUUUCUCUUCUGGGUGUCUGCAGCCUACUUGGGAUAGGGAUGUGGGUCUCAGGGAGGAGCAAGAGGGAUCCCAGGGUGUCCCUGAAGAGAACCUUGAUUGUGUUCCAGCCACUUAGACCGUGUGACUCACACAGCCUGUAUAUUCCAGCUCCAGGCGAUCCAGUGCUUCCAGCCUUUGUGGGGGCCACACUCGUGGUGUGUACACACACGCAAAUACACAAAUACUCAAACAAGUCUUUAAAAGCUACUAUGAAAGACUCAUGUCGAUAAGUUUAGUUAUAACCAGAUCUUUUCAUGGAGAAGUUGUGGGUUGCAAUGUACCCAUGUUAAAACAAGUUCUUUAUUACUGCCUUCUCUUUGAGAGCUCAGCUCCCGCUCUGGUAUCAGGAUUUGUCCAGACCAGAUAAACCAUAUAAUACAUGUGGUAUUAAUCAGAACACUAAAGGCAUAGAAUUGGCCGAGUUCCAGUUCUCGUGCCUUCUCACUCAAUGAGGAUUUAGUCCACGUGCUCAUGACGUUUUUUGUUUUGUUUUUUUGCAAGCCUGACUCUAAGGGUUGUUUUGCAAUCUUGGCUUUAAAAGACACAGGGAUUUUAAUGACAUCCCAAGAAAAGAAUGUAAAGUUUCCAUUUCAUACUGUCUGUUGAAAUGAGUAAUUACAGCUUGUGGUUACUAUUUAAAAUGCUGUUUCAUCUCACUGUUUCUUUUAUUUCAUCAGAUGUAACAACUAGAGAAAGGUGUUAUUGUAUUCUUAAUUGGACCACUCUGCUCA